Molecule: ribosomal RNA, 222 nt
Filed under: uncultured bacterium
Lineage: Bacteria
Description: partial 16S ribosomal RNA
Rfam family: Bacterial small subunit ribosomal RNA
Source: RNAcentral
GAUCAUGGCUCAGGAUGAACGCUGGCGGCGUGCCUAACACAUGCAAGUCGAACGAAGCACUUUGAUUUGAUUCUUCGGAUGAAGAUCAUUGUGACUGAGUGGCGGACGGGUGAGUAACGCGUGGGUAACCUGCCUCAUACAGGCGAAUAACAGUUAGAAAUGACUGCUAAUACCGCAUAAGACCACGGAGUCGCAUGACUCAGUGGGAAAAACUCCGGUGGU